UCCGUAGGUGAACCUGCGGAAGGAUCAUUAUCGAGUUCUGGGUCUUUCAGGCCCUUACUCCCACCCUUUGUGUACCUUACCAUUUAUUCAGUUGCCUUGGUGGGAUGUGCUGCCUUCUUUCCUCACCGACGAAGCGGCUCACCACCAAGGGAACACCCCCUAAACUCUUUAUGAAUCGAGUCGUCUGAGAAAAAAUUCAAAUGAAUUAAAACUUUCAACAACGGAUCUCUUGGUUCUGGCAUCGAUGAAGAACGCAGCGAAAUGCGAUAAGUAAUGUGAAUUGCAGAAUUCAGUGAAUCAUCGAAUCUUUGAACGCACAUUGCGCCCUUUGGUAUUCCGAGGGGCAUGCCUGUUCGAGCGUCAUUUCAACCCUCAAGCCUCGGCUUGGUAUUGGGCUCUCGUCCUGGACUUCUGUCAGGGCGUGCCCGAAACUCAUAGGCGGUUGUGCUCAGCUCCCUAGCGUAGUCAUAUAACAUCGCUCCGGAGGUCUGGGUACGGCCCGCCCGAAAAACCAUUUUUUCAAUCUAGUUUUGACCUCGGAUCAGGUAGGGAUACCCGCUGAACUUAAGCAUAUCAAUAAGCGGAGGA
This 588-nucleotide ribosomal RNA is filed under the name uncultured Helicomyces. Its description in RNAcentral is "eukaryotic LSU rRNA". The stretch from base 210 to 363 matches the Rfam family "5.8S ribosomal RNA". Lineage: Eukaryota; Fungi; Ascomycota; Dothideomycetes; Tubeufiales; Tubeufiaceae. The record is from RNAcentral.